GGGUGCUUGAGGCUAUCUGCCUCGGGCAUGAACACCAACGGCAGAUAGAGAAAAGCCCCAGUUAACAUUACGCGUCCUGCAAGACGCUUAACAUUAAUCUGAGCUCAAUCCAUGCUGAAACAUGUAAGUUAGCCUCUCUUACUGUGCGAAAGGCAGGAGAAGCAGGCUAUGAAG
RNAcentral lists this antisense RNA (174 nucleotides) under Escherichia coli O157:H7 str. EC4024. RNAcentral describes it as "sok antitoxin (CssrC)". It matches the Rfam family "sok antitoxin (CssrC)". From Rfam's summary of the family: Also identified in Shigella as CssrC. The record is from Rfam by way of RNAcentral. Lineage: Bacteria; Pseudomonadati; Pseudomonadota; Gammaproteobacteria; Enterobacterales; Enterobacteriaceae.